This is a non-coding RNA of Podarcis lilfordi (Lilford's wall lizard), 86 nucleotides long. NCBI's taxonomy places the organism in Eukaryota, Metazoa, Chordata, Lepidosauria, Squamata, Lacertidae. The record is from the annotation of a GenBank genome assembly.
AGUUGUUUUGGGACUACUAUUCCCAUCAUCCCUGACCACUGGUCCUGUUAGCUAGGGGUGAUGGGAAUUGUAGUCCCAAAACAGCA